Molecule: unclassified non-coding RNA, 375 nt
Filed under: soil metagenome
Description: partial contains 5.8S ribosomal RNA, internal transcribed spacer 2, and large subunit ribosomal RNA
Rfam family: 5.8S ribosomal RNA (bases 1-120)
Source: RNAcentral
GAUGAAGAACGCAGCGAAAUGCGAUAAGUAAUGUGAAUUGCAGAAUUCAGUGAAUCAUCGAAUCUUUGAACGCACAUUGCGCCCGCCAGUAUUCUGGCGGGCAUGCCUGUUCGAGCGUCAUUUCAACCCUCAAGACCCCUUCGGGGGACUUGGUGUUGGGGACCGGCACAGGGGCCUGCCUGCUUGUCUUGCAGCGCCCUCGCCGCCCCCGAAAUGAAUUGGCGGCCUCGUCGCGGCCUCCCCUGCGUAGUAGCACAACCUCGCAACGGGAACGUGACGGCGGCCACUGCCGUAAAACAACCCCAAUUUUAUUAGAGUUGACCUCGAAUCAGGUAGGAAUACCCGCUGAAAUUAAGCAUAUCAAUAAGCGGAGGA